AUUUAAACCCAACAUAUCGAAACGCGACGCCGAGAUCGAGGAUAUUUGGGCGUCAGUGCCGAGAGACUAUGAAAUGAGGACUACUAGACGCAGAGAGAUACACGGGUCGCGGAAAUUGAUUCCCGAAACGUACAAACACGAUACUAGAAUGCACGUAGAGGACACACCGAGCGUGAGGCGCGUAUCGGUUACACGUGAAUUACGCGAAAACACGAGCGUGAAGGACUCACCCGAGACGUUACACGAUCUUAAGCCAUACACGCGCAGACCUG
Nomia melanderi (Alkali bee) is the source of this 272-nucleotide non-coding RNA. Lineage: Eukaryota; Metazoa; Arthropoda; Insecta; Hymenoptera; Halictidae. The record is from RefSeq and is a predicted model, not a curated record.